GCGACGCGAGGGGAGGACUGGGAAGUAAGAAGUGGGGGGCAAGGGGUGAUGGGAGUGAAUGGGGGUAAAGGGUGUGUAGGCGGCUGUGCAAGGCGAAGGGGAAGUCCCCGAGCUUAAGUGGGGAAUUGCAUUGGUGACUGGAAGGUUGGAGUGUGUCAGAGGGGGGUGGAAUUCACGGUGGAGGAGUGAAAUGCGUAGAUAUGGGGAGGAAUACCGAUGGCGAAGGCAGCCCCCUGGGAUAAUACUGACGCUCAUGCACGAAAGCGUGGGGAGCAAACAGGAUUAGAUACCCGAGUAGUC
Molecule: ribosomal RNA, 300 nt
Filed under: uncultured Enterococcus sp.
Lineage: Bacteria; Bacillati; Bacillota; Bacilli; Lactobacillales; Enterococcaceae
Description: bacterial SSU rRNA
Rfam family: Bacterial small subunit ribosomal RNA (bases 52-300)
Source: RNAcentral